This 433-nucleotide ribosomal RNA is filed under the name uncultured bacterium. RNAcentral's name for it is "partial 16S ribosomal RNA". It matches the Rfam family "Bacterial small subunit ribosomal RNA", at positions 29 to 507 of the family's 1533-position model. The record is from RNAcentral.
AGCGAACGCUGGCGGCAGGCCUAACACAUGCAAGUCGAACGAACUCUUCGGAGUUAGUGGCGGACGGGUGAGUAACACGUGGGAACGUGCCUUUUGGUUCGGAAUAACUCAGGGAAACUUGUGCUAAUACCGAAUGUGCCCUUCUGGGGAAAGAUUUAUCGCCAUUAGAGCGGCCCGCGUCUGAUUAGCUCGUUGGUGAGGUAACGGCUCACCAAGGCGACGAUCAGUAGCUGGUCUGAGAGGAUGACCAGCCACACUGGGACUGAGACACGGCCCAGAAUCCUACGGGAGGCAGCAGUGGGGAAUCUUGCGCAAUGGGCGAAAGCCUGACGCAGCCAUGCCGCGUGAAUGAUGAAGGUCUUAGGAUUGUAAAAUUCUUUCAACGGGGACGAUAAUGACGGUACCCGGAGAAGAAGCCCCGGCUAACUUCGUG